CGGACGGGUGAGUAACACGUGGAUAACCUACCUAUAAGACUGGGAUAACUUCGGGAAACCGGAGCUAAUACCGGAUAAUAUAUUGAACCGCAUGGUUCAAUAGUGAAAGACGGUUUUGCUGUCACUUAUAGAUGGAUCCGCGCCGCAUUAGCUAGUUGGUAAGGUAACGGCUUACCAAGGCAACGAUGCGUAGCCGACCUGAGAGGGUGAUCGGCCACACUGGAACUGAUACACGGUCCAGACUCCUACGGGAGGCAGCAGUC
RNAcentral lists this ribosomal RNA (263 nucleotides) under uncultured Staphylococcus sp. Its description in RNAcentral is "partial 16S ribosomal RNA". It matches the Rfam family "Bacterial small subunit ribosomal RNA", at positions 99 to 355 of the family's 1533-position model. Lineage: Bacteria; Bacillati; Bacillota; Bacilli; Caryophanales; Staphylococcaceae. The record is from RNAcentral.